GACGAACGCUGGCGGCGUGCUUAACACAUGCAAGUCGAACGGAAAGGCCCUGCUUUUGUGGGGUGCUCGAGUGGCGAACGGGUGAGUAACACGUGAGUAACCUGCCCUUGACUUUGGGAUAACUUCAGGAAACUGGGGCUAAUACCGGAUAGGAGCUCCUGCUGCAUGGUGGGGGUUGGAAAGUUUCGGCGGUUGGGGAUGGACUCGCGGCUUAUCAGCUUGUUGGUGGGGUAGUGGCUUACCAAGGCUUUGACGGGUAGCCGGCCUGAGAGGGUGACCGGCCACAUUGGGACUGAGAUACGGCCCAGACUCCUACGGGAGGCAGCAGUGGGGAAUAUUGCACAAUGGGCGGAAGCCUGAUGCAGCAACGCCGCGUGCGGGAUGACGGCCUUCGGGUUGUAAACCGCUUUCGCCUGUGACGAAGCGUGAGUGACGGUAAUGGGUAAAGAAGCACCGGCUAACUACGUGCCAGCAGCCGCGGUGAUACGUAGGGUGCGAGCGUUGUCCGGAUUUAUUGGGCGUAAAGGGCUCGUAGGUGGUUGAUCGCGUCGGAAGUGUAAUCUUGGGGCUUAACCCUGAGCGUGCUUUCGAUACGGGUUGACUUGAGGAAGGUAGGGGAGAAUGGAAUUCCUGGUGGAGCGGUGGAAUGCGCAGAUAUCAGGAGGAACACCAGUGGCGAAGGCGGUUCUCUGGGCCUUUCCUGACGCUGAGGAGCGAAGGCGUGGGGAGCGAACAGGCUUAGAUACCCUGGUAGUCCACGCUGUAAACGGUGGGUACUAGGUGUGGGGUCCAUUCCACGGGUUCCGUGCCGUAGCUAACGCUUUAAGUACCCCGCCUGGGGAGUACGGCCGCAAGGCUAAAACUCAAAGGAAUUGACGGGGCCCCGCACAAGCGGCGGAGCAUGCGGAUUAAUUCGAUGCAACGCGUAGAACCUUACCUGGGUUUGACAUGGAUCGGGAGUGCUCAGAGAUGGGUGUGCCUCUUUUGGGGUCGGUUCACAGGUGGUGCAUGGCUGUCGUCAGCUCGUGUCGUGAGAUGUUGGGUUAAGUCCCGCAACGAGCGCAACCCUUGUUCACUGUUGCCAGCACGUUAUGGUGGGGACUCAGUGGAGACCGCCGGGGUCAACUCGGAGGAAGGUGGGGAUGACGUCAAGUCAUCAUGCCCCUUAUGUCCAGGGCUUCACGCAUGCUACAAUGGCUGGUACAGAGAGUGGCGAGCCUGUGAGGAUGAGCGAAUCUCGGAAAGCCGGUCUCAGUUCGGAUUGGGGUCUGCAACUCGACCUCAUGAAGUCGGAGUCGCUAGUAAUCGCAGAUCAGCAACGCUGCGGUGAAUACGUUCCCGGG
RNAcentral lists this ribosomal RNA (1343 nucleotides) under uncultured bacterium. RNAcentral's name for it is "16S ribosomal RNA". It matches the Rfam family "Bacterial small subunit ribosomal RNA", at positions 28 to 1378 of the family's 1533-position model. The record is from RNAcentral.